GUGAGGAAUAUUGGUCAAUGGGCGGGAGCCUGAACCAGCCAAGUCGCGUGAAGGAAGAAGGAUCUAUGGUUCGUAAACUUCUUUUGCAGGGGAAUAAAGUGCGGGACGUGUCCUGUUUUGUAUGUACCCUGAGAAUAAGGAUCGGCUAACUCCGUGCCAGCAGCCGCGGUAAUACGGAGGAUCCGAGCGUUAUCCGGAUUUAUUGGGUUUAAAGGGUGCGUAGGUGGUUUGAUAAGUCAGCGGUGAAAGUUUGAAGCUUAACUGUAAAAAUGCCGUUGAAACUGUCGGACUUGAGUGUAAAUGAGGUAGGCGGAAUGCGUGGUGUAGCGGUGAAAUGCAUAGAUAUCACGCAGAACUCCGAUUGCGAAGGCAGCUUACUAAGCUACAACUGACACUGAAGCACGAAAGCGUGGGGAUCAAACAGGAUUAGAUACCCCUGUAGUCC
This 445-nucleotide ribosomal RNA is filed under the name uncultured bacterium. RNAcentral describes it as "partial 16S ribosomal RNA". It matches the Rfam family "Bacterial small subunit ribosomal RNA", at positions 354 to 796 of the family's 1533-position model. The record is from RNAcentral.